GAUCUAAUAGUUCAACUGAUAGAAUGCCAAUUUGGCAAUUUGGAAGCCGUUAGUUUGAACUCUACUGUGAUCC
RNAcentral lists this transfer RNA (73 nucleotides) under Trichobilharzia regenti. It matches the Rfam family "tRNA". From Rfam's summary of the family: Transfer RNA (tRNA) molecules are approximately 80 nucleotides in length. Lineage: Eukaryota; Metazoa; Platyhelminthes; Trematoda; Strigeidida; Schistosomatidae. The record is from Rfam by way of RNAcentral.